Small nuclear RNA from Microtus ochrogaster (prairie vole), 159 nucleotides. Its record names the gene U1. It matches the Rfam family "U1 spliceosomal RNA". From Rfam's summary of the family: U1 is a small nuclear RNA (snRNA) component of the spliceosome (involved in pre-mRNA splicing). Its 5' end forms complementary base pairs with the 5' splice junction, thus defining the 5' donor site of an intron. Lineage: Eukaryota; Metazoa; Chordata; Mammalia; Rodentia; Cricetidae. The record is from Ensembl.
CUACUUACCUAGCAGGGUAAAUACCAUUAUCACAAAGGUGGUUUUCCCAGGGCGAGGCUUGUGCAUUGCAUUCUGAAUGACACCCGUGAUUUCCACAAAUGUGGGAAAUUCAACUGCAUCAUUUGUGGUAGUGGGGGAUUGUGUUUGAACUCAUUCCUG